AAAAAGGGGGGGGCUUGGAUGCUGCUGGCCCGCGAGGGCAUGUGCGCGCCUGCCCUUCCGAUCUCACACACCUGUGCACCUAUGGGCGAACGCCUCCCGUUUGGAGCAGCCCGACGUGUUGUCGGGCCGGGGCGUUCCCUCUUCUCUCACACACAACAGCCUGUUCUGAACGCAUGUCUUUUUGAGCGUAUAUAUAUAUAUGCACAUAGCAGUUACAACUUUCAACAACGGAUCUCUUGGCUUUCGCAUCGAUGAAGGACGCCGCGAAAGUGCGAAACGUAAUGUGAAUUGCAGAAUUCAGUGAAUCAUCGAAUCUUUGAACGCAUCUUGCGCCCCUUGGUAUUCCGAGGGGCAUGCCUGUUUGAGUGUCGCGAACAUCCCUCGACCCUCCCUUUCCCCCCCCCAAAGGAAGAGAGAGGGGUCGGAUUUGGACGUCUGCGGCGGGGUCUUCUUCCCGCCGCUCGUCUUCAAACGCAUUAGCUUCUGAUCCCGGAAGUCGGCCCGAUGACGGUGUGAUAAAGAGACGUCCCCGUUGACUGUGGCGCCGUUUGGGUCGACUUUGAAUCGGGGUUCGCUUACAGCCGUCCUCUUUUCGGACAAAACACGUUCACGUCGUCUGACCUCAAAU
This 628-nucleotide ribosomal RNA is filed under the name Ramaria amyloidea. Its description in RNAcentral is "eukaryotic LSU rRNA". The stretch from base 217 to 371 matches the Rfam family "5.8S ribosomal RNA". The record is from RNAcentral. Lineage: Eukaryota; Fungi; Basidiomycota; Agaricomycetes; Gomphales; Gomphaceae.